UACGAAGGGGGCUAGCGUUGCUCGGAGUCACUGGGCGUAAAGCGCACGUAGGCGGCUUUCUAAGUCAGGGGUGAAAUCCUGGAGCUCAACUCCAGAACUGCCUUUGAUACUGGAGAGCUUGAGUCCGGAAGAGGUGAGUGGAACUCCGAGUGUAGAGGUGAAAUUCGUAGAUAUUCGGAAGAACACCAGUGGCGAAGGCGGCUCACUGGUCCGGUACUGACGCUGAUGUGCGAAAGCGUGGGGAGCAAACAGG
This 253-nucleotide ribosomal RNA is filed under the name uncultured bacterium. Its description in RNAcentral is "partial 16S ribosomal RNA". It matches the Rfam family "Bacterial small subunit ribosomal RNA", at positions 524 to 776 of the family's 1533-position model. The record is from RNAcentral.